Mercurialis annua (annual mercury) is the source of this 1228-nucleotide RNA transcript. It is a transcript of the gene named 40S ribosomal protein S11-like, with no coding region annotated. Lineage: Eukaryota; Viridiplantae; Streptophyta; Magnoliopsida; Malpighiales; Euphorbiaceae. The record is from RefSeq and is a predicted model, not a curated record. The transcript has 7 exons.
GAAAUCAGCAAAUCUAGGGUUUAAGAGUUAUCUCCUGCGCUGACUUAACCUUUCUCUCUUAAUUUGUGUUGCGUUCCACAGAAACAGAGGUUUGAAGCAUGGCAGAGCAGACUGAAAAGGCAUUUCUGAAGCAACCCAAAGUCUUCCUCAGUUCCAAGAAAAGUGGAAAGGGGAAGAGACCUGGAAAAGGUGGCAAUCGUUUCUGGAAAAGCAUUGGCUUAAAUUUUAAGACUCCAAGAGAAGCUAUUCAAGGAACUUACGUUGACAAGAAAUGCCCCUUCAGUGGAACUGUGUCCAUCAGGGGACGUAUCCUAGCCGGAACUUGCCACAGUGCCAAGAUGAUGAGGACCAUCGUUGUUCGCCGGGAUUACCUUCAUUUUAUUAAGAAAUACCAACGAUACGAGAAAAGACAUUCAAAUAUCCCAGCACACAUAUCUCCAUGCUUCCGUGUUAAAGAAGGAGAUCAUGUCAUUAUCGGGCAGUGCAGGCCAUUGUCCAAGACUGUGAGAUUCAACGUGCUUAAGGUGGUUCCUGCUGGCUCUUCCGGGGCCGGGAAAAAGGCCUUCACUAGUAUGUGAGACAUUCCUAGGUUACUGGUGGAAAUUCAAUGCUUUAAGCAUCGUGUUGUGUUCCUGAAGUGCGAUUACCGUUUGGUUGGAAAGAAAGCAAACCCUAACAUAAUCAGCCAUGCGGCAACCUCCGACGCAAUAGCUCCGCCAUCAGUGAAGCAGACAAGAGGCAACCACUAAAGCAGCCACCGUCUGACUCAGUGUAGCCGCUCUUCGCUCCGUUUUUGCUUCCGCUCCAUUCCACCCCUUUUGCCGCUUCUGUUGCGUUACGUCGUAGCCGCUCUCCUAUUUGUGUUUAUUUUGUUCAAGUUAUUGUUGUGGAUUUGCAAGCUGCCGUGAGUCUUGAAGGAAAAACGGUCGUAGAUGGAGGACCUGCUGCCGCCAUGACGAACAAUUCGAAAUCCGAGAUAGAAUCAAUAUUUUCGGUGUUGGUUAAUCCAUUUUUUGUUUUUCUUUUAUGAACGACGGUGGUGAUAUGAUGGUGGUUCGAUUUUUUAUGUUACACAGUCUGCACUCUUAAGUGUUUGAAGAAAUGCUUAUGAGAAUUGUAAUGUUUUGGGUGUUGGGUAAUCAAUAGUUAACAUUAGGUAAACCGUCAGGUAACUUGUAAUAAAUUUUAUUUUGAAUAUAAUAUUAAUAAAAUAGUUAAUUAACUGUUA